Long non-coding RNA from Passer domesticus (house sparrow), 655 nucleotides. RefSeq lists it as uncharacterized. The transcript has 2 exons. NCBI's taxonomy places the organism in Eukaryota, Metazoa, Chordata, Aves, Passeriformes, Passeridae. The record is from RefSeq and is a predicted model, not a curated record.
GAGACAGGGACUUCUGCAUCUUGAACAAAAUGCACCAAUCCAAACUUCUUCCUGGAUGAUUUAUGUACAUCAGAUGGUGGAGAGAGAGAAAGAGUAUCAAGAUCUGCCAGAACUGCCACCUUAAUAUCACAGCCUAAAAGCAGGUGAAGGUAUUGAAAGAUACCCAAGUGCCAGCUAUUCCUUUUCAUCCUUGGCUGUGUGACAGGUGUGGGGAUGGUGUACAUCAUGAGAAGGGGCUGGUAGACAACACUUCCCCUCUGCACAUCAGAGGUGUGAAAGGCACUGUAGCUUUUGGGGGCAAAAUGUUCUUGUGGGGAUGAUGCAAUUCUGCAGUUGCCUGAAUUCAGAGCUGUGCUUACAGGCCACAAGAGAAUCCAUCACUCCUGCCUGUCUAGUUUCCAACUUAAAAGUAGCUUUGGUACUGAUUUCCAUAGAAACAUCCAUUGCUUAGCAUAAUAAUAAUGGGCUGCAGAGGUGAAUACCCCUGGCUCUGCCUUUUUGCUUUGUAAAGUUCUCACACAUAGGGUGGCUUUAGUUCUUCCUGAAGCACUGCCUGGGGUGGUGUCAUUGUUCCCAAUGUGAAACAGACUGUAAUUUGCAGAGGCUGUUCCUCAAACUUUUAUAGAAGAAUAAAAGUUUGGAUUUGUUUCCAUCA